RNAcentral lists this ribosomal RNA (253 nucleotides) under uncultured bacterium. RNAcentral describes it as "partial 16S ribosomal RNA". It matches the Rfam family "Bacterial small subunit ribosomal RNA", at positions 524 to 776 of the family's 1533-position model. The record is from RNAcentral.
GACAGAGGGUGCAAACGUUGUUCGGAAUUACUGGGCGUAAAGCGCGUGUAGGCGGCUACGCAAGUCGGAUGUGAAAUCCCGUGGCUCAACCACGGAAGUGCACCCGAAACUGCGCAGCUGGAGUCUCGGAGAGGAAGGUGGAAUGCUUGGUGUAGAGGUGAAAUUCGUAGAUAUCAAGCGGAACACCGGUGGCGAAGGCGGCCUUCUGGACGAUGACUGACGCUGAGACGCGAAAGCGUGGGGAGCAAACAGG